RNAcentral lists this ribosomal RNA (500 nucleotides) under uncultured Sphingobacteriales bacterium. RNAcentral's name for it is "bacterial SSU rRNA". It matches the Rfam family "Bacterial small subunit ribosomal RNA", at positions 903 to 1382 of the family's 1533-position model. The record is from RNAcentral. Lineage: Bacteria; Pseudomonadati; Bacteroidota; Sphingobacteriia; Sphingobacteriales.
CGCCUUGCCAGCCCGCUCAGAACUUAAAGGAAUUGACGGGGCCGCACAAGCGGUGGAGCAUGUGGUUUAAUUCGAUGAUACGCGAGGAACCUUACCUGGGCUCAAAUGUAUGUUGACGUAUUCUGAAAGGGAUACUUCUUCGGACAAUAUACAAGGUGCUGCAUGGUUGUCGUCAGCUCGUGCCGUGAGGUGUCGGGUUAAGUCCCAUAACGAGCGCAACCCCUAUCAUUAGUUGCCAUCAGGUCAAGCUGGGGACUCUAAUGAAAUUGCCUACGCAAGUAGUGAGGAAGGUGGGGAUGACGUCAAAUCAGCACGGCCCUUACGUCCAGGGCUACACACGUGCUACAAUGGCCGGUACAAAGGGCAGCUACCUGGUGACAGGAUGCUAAUCUCAAAAGCCGGUCUCAGUUCGGAUCGGAGUCUGCAACCCGACUCCGUGAAGCUGGAAUCGCUAGUAAUCGUGGAUCAGCCAAGCCGCGGUGAAUACGUUCCCGGGCCUU